RNAcentral lists this ribosomal RNA (499 nucleotides) under uncultured Bacteroidales bacterium. Its description in RNAcentral is "bacterial SSU rRNA". It matches the Rfam family "Bacterial small subunit ribosomal RNA", at positions 65 to 553 of the family's 1533-position model. The record is from RNAcentral. Lineage: Bacteria; Pseudomonadati; Bacteroidota; Bacteroidia; Bacteroidales.
AGGGGCAGCAUGGACUUAGCUUGCUAAGUCCGAUGGCGACCGGCGCACGGGUGAGUAACGCGUAUCCAACCUCCCGCUUACUCGGGAAUAGCCUUUCGAAAGAAAGAUUAAUACCCGAUGGUAUCUUACGCGCACAUGCAAAUAAGAUUAAAGAUUUAUCGGUAAGCGAUGGGGAUGCGUUCCAUUAGAUAGUAGGCGGGGUAACGGCCCACCUAGUCUACGAUGGAUAGGGGUUCUGAGAGGAAGGUCCCCCACAUUGGAACUGAGACACGGUCCAAACUCCUACGGGAGGCAGCAGUGAGGAAUAUUGGUCAAUGGGCGCGAGCCUGAACCAGCCAAGUAGCGUGAAGGAUGAAGGUCCUACGGAUUGUAAACUUCUUUUAUAAGGGAAUAAAGUCACCCACGUGUGGGUGUUUGUAUGUACCUUAUGAAUAAGCAUCGGCUAACUCCGUGCCAGCAGCCGCGGUAAUACGGAGGAUGCGAGCGUUAUCCGGAUUUA